AACGGUCUAUACCUGCGGUACCUGCGGAAGGAUCAUUAUAGAGUGGUAAACCCUCUGUAAAAGGGGGGGACCUCCUGUCCUUUGUAGGCUCUUUUUUAAAGGGCUUUUUUUAAUUUUCUGCUUCGGUGGGGUUAUCCCACCGGAACAACCUCAAAACUCUGAUCAAAAAUCGUUCUGUCUGAGAACUUUUUAUAAUAAAAAAAAACUUUUAACAAUGGAUCUCUAGAUCGGAAGAGCACA
RNAcentral lists this unclassified non-coding RNA (240 nucleotides) under soil metagenome. Its description in RNAcentral is "partial contains 5.8S ribosomal RNA, internal transcribed spacer 2, and large subunit ribosomal RNA". The record is from RNAcentral.